RNAcentral lists this ribosomal RNA (254 nucleotides) under uncultured bacterium. Its description in RNAcentral is "partial 16S ribosomal RNA". It matches the Rfam family "Bacterial small subunit ribosomal RNA", at positions 524 to 776 of the family's 1533-position model. The record is from RNAcentral.
UACGUAGGGCGCAAGCGUUGUCCGGAAUUAUUGGGCGUAAAGAGCUCGUAGGCGGCUUGGCAAGUCGGGUGUGAAACCUCCAGGCUCAACCUGGAGACGCCACUCGAUACUGCCAUGGCUAGAGUCCGGUAGGGGACCACGGAAUUCCUGGUGUAGCGGUGAAAUGCGCAGAUAUCAGGAGGAACACCGGUGGCGAAGGCGGUGGUCUGGGCCGGCACUGACGCUGAGGAGCGAAAGCGUGGGUAGCAAACAGG